Molecule: ribosomal RNA, 497 nt
Filed under: uncultured bacterium
Lineage: Bacteria
Description: partial 16S ribosomal RNA
Rfam family: Bacterial small subunit ribosomal RNA
Source: RNAcentral
GAUGAACGCUGGCGGCGUGCCUAAUACAUGCAAGUCGAGCGAACAGAUAAGGAGCUUGCUCCUUUGACGUUAGCGGCGGACGGGUGAGUAACACGUGGGUAACCUACCUAUAAGACUGGAAUAACUCCGGGAAACCGGGGCUAAUGCCGGAUAACAUUUAGAACCGCAUGGUUCUAAAGUGAAAGAUGGUUUUGCUAUCACUUAUAGAUGGACCCGCGCCGUAUUAGCUAGUUGGUAAGGUAACGGCUUACCAAGGCAACGAUACGUAGCCGAUCUGAGAGGGUGAUCGGCCACACUGGAACUGAGACACGGUCCAGACUCCUACGGGAGGCAGCAGUAGGGAAUCUUCCGCAAUGGGCGAAAGCCUGACGGAGCAACGCCGCGUGAGUGAUGAAGGUCUUCGGAUCGUAAAACUCUGUUAUUAGGGAAGAACAAAUGUGUAAGUAACUGUGCACGUCUUGACGGUACCUAAUCAGAAAGCCACGGCUAACUACGUG